UGGGGAAUAUUGCACAAUGGGCGCAAGCCUGAUGCAGCCAUGCCGCGUGUAUGAAGAAGGCCUUCGGGUUGUAAAGUACUUUCAGCGGGGAGGAAGGGAGUAAAGUUAAUACCUUUGCUCAUUGACGAUACCCGCAGAAGAAGCACCGGCUAACUCCGUGCCAGCAGCCGCGGUCAUACGGAGGGUGCAAGAGUUAAUCGGAAUUACUGGGCGUAAAGCGCACGCAGGCGGUUUGUUAAGUCAGAUGUGAAAUCCCCGGGCUCAACCUGGGAACUGCAUCUGAUACUGGCAAGCUUGAGUCUCGUAGAGGGGGGUAGAAUUCCAGGUGUAGCGGUGAAAUGCGUAGAGAUCUGGAGGAAUACCGGUGGCGAAGGCGGCCCCCUGGACGAAGACUGACGCUCAGGUGCGAAAGCGUGGGGAGCAAACA
RNAcentral lists this ribosomal RNA (427 nucleotides) under uncultured bacterium. Its description in RNAcentral is "partial 16S ribosomal RNA". It matches the Rfam family "Bacterial small subunit ribosomal RNA", at positions 355 to 774 of the family's 1533-position model. The record is from RNAcentral.